This 305-nucleotide ribosomal RNA is filed under the name uncultured bacterium. RNAcentral's name for it is "bacterial SSU rRNA". It matches the Rfam family "Bacterial small subunit ribosomal RNA", at positions 29 to 317 of the family's 1533-position model. The record is from RNAcentral.
AACGAACGCUGGCGGCGUGCUUAAUACAUGCAAGUCGAACGAGGGCACCUUGUAGCAAUACGAGGUGUCCCUAGUGGCGAAUGGGUGCGUAACACGUAGGUGACCUGCCCCGAAGUGUGGAAUAACAGUUCGAAAGGACUGCUAAUACCGCAUGUGGUCCCGGAGGUUAGAGGCUCCGGGUCUAAAGCUGCUCGCAAGAGUGGCGCUUCGGGAGGGGCCUGCGGCCCAUCAGGUAGUUGGUAGGGUAACGGCCUACCAAGCCAUCGACGGGUAGGGGAUCUGAGAGGAUGGUCCCCCACACUGGC